This 73-nucleotide transfer RNA is filed under the name Chloroflexota bacterium. RNAcentral's name for it is "Chloroflexi bacterium tRNA-Arg". It matches the Rfam family "tRNA". From Rfam's summary of the family: Transfer RNA (tRNA) molecules are approximately 80 nucleotides in length. Their secondary structure includes four short double-helical elements and three loops (D, anti-codon, and T loops). Further hydrogen bonds mediate the characteristic L-shaped molecular structure. tRNAs have two regions of fundamental functional importance: the anti-codon, which is responsible for specific mRNA codon recognition, and the 3' end, to which the tRNAs corresponding amino acid is attached (by aminoacyl-tRNA synthetases). tRNAs cope with the degeneracy of the genetic code in two manners: having more than one tRNA (with a specific anti-codon) for a particular amino acid; and 'wobble' base-pairing, i.e. permitting non-standard base-pairing at the 3rd anti-codon position. The record is from RNAcentral. Lineage: Bacteria; Bacillati; Chloroflexota.
GCUCCCGUAGCUCAAAGGAUAGAGCAGCGGCCUUCUAAGCCGAAGGUUACAGGUUCGACCCCUGUCGGGAGCG